This 332-nucleotide unclassified non-coding RNA is filed under the name soil metagenome. RNAcentral's name for it is "partial contains 5.8S ribosomal RNA, internal transcribed spacer 2, and large subunit ribosomal RNA". The stretch from base 1 to 120 matches the Rfam family "5.8S ribosomal RNA", at positions 35 to 154 of the family's 154-position model. The record is from RNAcentral.
GAUGAAGAACGCAGCAAAAUGCGAUAAGUAAUGUGAAUUGCAGAAUUCAGUGAAUCAUCGAAUCUUUGAACGCACAUUGCGCCCGCCAGUAUUCUGGCGGGCAUGCCUGUUCGAGCGUCAUUUCAACCCUCAAGCACAGCUUGGUGUUGGGACUCGCGUUAAUUCGCGUUCCCCAAAUUGAUUGGCGGUCACGUCGAGCUUCCAUAGCGUAGUAGUAAAACCCUCGUUACUGGUAAUCGUCGCGGCAACGCCGUUAAACCCCAACUUCUGAAUGUUGACCUCGGAUCAGGUAGGAAUACCCGCUGAACUUAAGCAUAUCAAUAAGCGGAGGA